UUACGGCCAUAUAACACUGAAGCAUCGGUUUUCAUACAAUCACCGAGGUUAAGCAACGUCGAGCCUAGUCAGGACCUAGAUGGGUGAUCGCUUGGGAAUACCAGAUGAUGAA
Non-coding RNA from Acanthosepion pharaonis, 112 nucleotides. NCBI's taxonomy places the organism in Eukaryota, Metazoa, Mollusca, Cephalopoda, Sepiida, Sepiidae. The record is from the annotation of a GenBank genome assembly.